AUGUGGGAGGAAUGCUUGCCUCAUAUUGAAUUUGCUUAUAAUCGUUCAUUGCAUUCUACUACUAAGAUGUGCCCUUUUGAAGUUGUGUAUGGUUUCCUACCUCGUGCACCUAUUGAUUUGUUUCCUCUUCCAUCUUCGGAGAAGGUUAAUUUUGAUGCUAAACAACGUGCUGAAUUGAUUUUAAAAAUGCAUGAGUUAACUAAGGAAAACAUUGAGCCCAUGAAUGCUAAAUAUAAACUUGCUGGAGAUAAGGGUAGAAAACAUGUUGUUUUUGCACCUGGAGAUCUUGUUUGGUUACAUUUGCGUAAGGAUAGAUUUCCUGAUUUGCGCAAAUCAAAGUUAAUGCCACGUGCUGAUGGUCCCUUUAAGGUGUUAGAGAAAAUAAAUGAUAAUGCAUAUAAACUUGAGCUGCCUGCAGAUUUUGGGGUUAGUCCCACUUUUAACAUUGCAGAUUUGAAGCCUUAUUUGGGUGAGGAAGAUGAACUUCCGUCGAGGACGACUUCAUUUCAAGAAGGGGAGGAUGAUGAGGACAUCAAUACAAUUGUUACACCCACAGCCCCUGCUGCUAUACAUACUGGACCAAUUACUAGAGCUCGUGCACGCCAACUAAAUUACCAGGAAACAGACCCUCGUGGUCAGGUUGAUCGUGCUCCGGCGUGGUCAAUAACCUCUCGGAGUUGGUUUAGCGAUUGCUAA
Molecule: ribosomal RNA, 696 nt
Filed under: Triticum aestivum (bread wheat)
Lineage: Eukaryota; Viridiplantae; Streptophyta; Magnoliopsida; Poales; Poaceae
Description: partial small subunit ribosomal RNA
Source: RNAcentral